Molecule: ribosomal RNA, 245 nt
Filed under: uncultured bacterium
Lineage: Bacteria
Description: partial 16S ribosomal RNA
Rfam family: Bacterial small subunit ribosomal RNA
Source: RNAcentral
UACGGAGGGUGCGAGCGUUAAUCGGAAUUACUGGGCGUAAAGCGUGCGUAGGCGGCAUAAUAAGCCAGAUGUGAAAGCCCUGGGCUUAACCUGGGAACUGCAUUUGGAACUGUUAAGCUAGAGUUGAGUAGAGGUAAGUGGAAUUUCAGGUGUAGCGGUGAAAUGCGUAGAGAUCUGAAGGAACACCAGUGGCGAAGGCGACUUACUGGACUCAAACUGACGCUGAGGUACGAAAGCGUGGGUAG